GACGUAGGGCGCGAGCGUUGUCCGGAAUUAUUGGGCGUAAAGAGCUCGUAGGCGGCUUGUUGCGUCGACUGUGAAAACCCACGGCUCAACCGUGUGGUCUGCAGUCGAUACGGGCAGGCUAGAGUUCGGUAGGGGAGACUGGAAUUCCUGGUGUAGCGGUGAAAUGCGCAGAUAUCAGGAAGAACACCUAUGGCGAAGGCAGCUCUCUGGGACGGUACUGACGCUGAGACGCGAAAGCGUGGGGAGCGAACAGG
RNAcentral lists this ribosomal RNA (254 nucleotides) under uncultured bacterium. RNAcentral's name for it is "partial 16S ribosomal RNA". It matches the Rfam family "Bacterial small subunit ribosomal RNA", at positions 524 to 776 of the family's 1533-position model. The record is from RNAcentral.